This 360-nucleotide ribosomal RNA is filed under the name uncultured Lactobacillales bacterium. Its description in RNAcentral is "bacterial SSU rRNA". It matches the Rfam family "Bacterial small subunit ribosomal RNA", at positions 192 to 524 of the family's 1533-position model. Lineage: Bacteria; Bacillati; Bacillota; Bacilli; Lactobacillales. The record is from RNAcentral.
AGUACUUUUAAAAAGGCGGCGUAAGCUGUCGCUAUGGGAUGGCCCGCGGUGCAUUAGCUAGUUGGUAAGGUAAAGGCUUACCAAGGCGAUGAUGCAUAGCCCGAGUUGAGAGACUGAUCGGGCCACAUUGGGGACUGAGACACGGGGCCCAAACUCCUACGGGGGGAGGGGCAGCAGUAGGGGGAAUCUUCCACAAUGGACGCAAGUCUGAUGGAGCAACGCCGCGUGAGUAGAAGUUAAGGUUUUCGGAUACGUAAAGCUCUGUUGUUGGUGAAGAAGGAUAGAGGUAGUAACUGGUCCUUUAUUGACGGUAAUCAACCAGAAAGUCACGGCUAACUACGUGCCAGCAGCCGCGGUAAU